This 455-nucleotide ribosomal RNA is filed under the name uncultured bacterium. Its description in RNAcentral is "bacterial SSU rRNA". It matches the Rfam family "Bacterial small subunit ribosomal RNA", at positions 18 to 480 of the family's 1533-position model. The record is from RNAcentral.
CCUGGCUCAGAUUGAACGCUGGCGGCAUGCUUUACACAUGCAAGUCGAACGGGGUUGGGGAGCUUGCUUCCAAUCUAGUGGCGAACGGGUGAGUAAUACAUCGGAACGUACCGUGUAGUGGGGGAUAACGUAGCGAAAAGUUACGCUAAUACCGCAUACGAUCCACGGAUGAAAAGCAGGGGACCUUCGGGCCUUGUGCUAUACGAGCGGCCGAUGUCUGAUUAGCUAGUUGGUGAGGUAAAGGCUCACCAAGGCGACGAUCAGUAGCGGGUCUGAGAGGAUGAUCCGCCACACUGGGACUGAGACACGGCCCAGGCUCCUACGGGAGGCAGCAGUGGGGAAUUUUGGACAAUGGGCGCAAGCCUGAUCCAGCCAUGCCGCGUGUCUGAAGAAGGCCUCGGUUGUAAGGACGUUUUAGUUCGUAGGAGGACGAAAACGUUAAACUUACGGUUAAA